CGCGUAGGCGGCUCGCUAAGUCGGGUGUGAAAACUCUGGGCUCAACCCAGAGCCUGCAUUCGAAACUGACGAGCUAGAGUUCUGGAGGGGAAAGCGGAAUUCCUGGUGUAGCGGUGAAAUGCGUAGAUAUCAGGAGGAACACCGGUGGCGAAGGCGGCUUUCUGGACAGAAACUGACGCUGAGGCGCGAAAGCUAGGGGAGCAAACAGGAUUAGAUACCCUGGUAGUCCUAGCCCUAAACGAUGGAUACUUGCUGUGAGGGGGAUUGAAUCCCUUCGUGGCGAAGCUAACGCAUUAAGUAUCCCGCCUGGGGAGUACGGUCGCAAGGCUGAA
This 332-nucleotide ribosomal RNA is filed under the name uncultured Acidobacteriaceae bacterium. RNAcentral describes it as "bacterial SSU rRNA". It matches the Rfam family "Bacterial small subunit ribosomal RNA", at positions 568 to 898 of the family's 1533-position model. The record is from RNAcentral. Lineage: Bacteria; Pseudomonadati; Acidobacteriota; Terriglobia; Terriglobales; Acidobacteriaceae.